ACACAGUAGCAGUGUAAUCGCCAUCCUGAUUGCAUGGGCAUCACGUACAAGGGUGAUUGGCUUUAGUGCAAGUAGGAGAUUGAAAGAAAAGUAUCCUGUUGGGUAUAAAAUAAUCCCUGUCGAAGUUCGUAAUAGGCCAACCCUCCCAGGACUCUUCCGGCUUUCGACCUUGUGCGGCAUCUUUCUGAACUCCUCCAGCAGUCGACCUUCCACAGUGUCCUCCAGACUCCUCCAGCGGACGAACUUCCACAUCCAAGCCUCUUCCAGACUUCGUCAAUGUCCGAGCUUCUCCAGCAGCAGGACUUCUACAGCAACCAGACUCCAUCCAAGUUUCUACGAUGGUCGAUCGCCUUUCGAAUUUCAUCCGAGCUUCUACAGUAAGCGAAUUCUGUCUGAACUUCUAUUGCAAGCGGACUUCAUCCGAGUUUCUACGAUAAUGGACUUCGUCCGAGCUUCUACAAUAAACGGUCUCCAUCCAGACUUCCACGGCAAUCGGUCACCAUCCGAUCUUCUACAAUAAGCAGUCUCCAUCCGGGCUUCCACGGUAACCGAUCUCCAUCCGAGUUUCUAUAGUAAGCGGCCUCCUUCUAGACUCAUACAAGAACCGGACUUCAUCCGAUCUUCUACAGUGGAUGGAUUUCAGACGAACUUCUACAAUAGACGGGCUCCAGC
RNAcentral lists this long non-coding RNA (672 nucleotides) under Elaeis guineensis (African oil palm). RNAcentral describes it as "long non-coding RNA (EGUI_LNC050476)". The record is from RNAcentral. Lineage: Eukaryota; Viridiplantae; Streptophyta; Magnoliopsida; Arecales; Arecaceae.